Molecule: ribosomal RNA, 253 nt
Filed under: uncultured bacterium
Lineage: Bacteria
Description: partial 16S ribosomal RNA
Rfam family: Bacterial small subunit ribosomal RNA
Source: RNAcentral
UACGUAGGGGGCUAGCGUUGUCCGGAAUCAUUGGGCGUAAAGAGCGUGUAGGCGGCUUGGUAAGUCCGCUGUGAAAGUCCAGGGCUCAACCCUGGAAAGCCAGUGGAAACUGUCAAGCUAGAGUCCGGAAGAGGCGAGUGGAACUCCUGGUGUAGCGGUGAAAUGCGCAGAUAUCAGGAAGAACACCAAUGGCGAAGGCAGCUCGCUGGGACGGUACUGACGCUGAGGCACGAAAGCCAGGGGAGCAAACGGG